GUGUCAGCAGCCGCGGUAAUACAGAGGGUGCGAGCGUUAAUCGGAAUUACUGGGCGUAAAGGGCGCGUAGGCGGUACAUCAAGUGUGAUGUGAAAUCCCUGGGCUUAACCUGGGAAUGGCAUCACGGACUGGUGUACUGGAGUACUGUAGAGGGCAGUGGAAUUUCCGGUGUAGCGGUGAAAUGCGUAGAGAUCGGAAGGAACACCAGUGGCGAAGGCGACUGUCUGGACAGAUACUGACGCUGAGGCGCGAAAGCGUGGGGAGCAAACAGGAUUAGAUACCCUGGUAGUCCACGCUGUAAACGAUGAGAACUAGAUGUUGGCAGGCUUGGCCUGUUAGUAUCGAAGCUAACGCGAUAAGUUCUCCGCCUGGGGAGUACGGCCGCAAGGUUAAAACUCAAAUGAAUUGACGG
RNAcentral lists this ribosomal RNA (412 nucleotides) under uncultured bacterium. Its description in RNAcentral is "bacterial SSU rRNA". It matches the Rfam family "Bacterial small subunit ribosomal RNA", at positions 505 to 916 of the family's 1533-position model. The record is from RNAcentral.